This 451-nucleotide long non-coding RNA is filed under the name Brassica napus (rape). Its description in RNAcentral is "long non-coding RNA (BNAP_LNC020462)". Lineage: Eukaryota; Viridiplantae; Streptophyta; Magnoliopsida; Brassicales; Brassicaceae. The record is from RNAcentral.
ACACUUUAACUAUCUCUUGGAUUACGUCUCAUAUUAGGAGGACGGCGUCGAUCUGGUUACUAUCAUCAAGUGUACAUGUUUCUAUCGCCGUGGGAAGUCUCAUGACCACCUUUCAGAUUACAUCAUGCCUACCACAUUUGAGUUAAAACAACAAAUAGACGACCACAAGUAAAAAUGCUUAACAAACCAAAUUAGUCUAUUACUUAAGAGGUUAUAGCGAAUAGUGAAUAAUAAUUUUCUACGUUGCAGAUUGUUAAUAGAUGCUACUUCCCCUGUAAUGCUAUCAACUCUAGCAAACGGUAAAGUUGUAAGGAGCCUAGAAGGUUUACCUUCGGAAGGACCUGUUCUGUACGUUGGCUACCACAUGUUACUGGGAUUUGAGCUAGCUCCUAUGGUAUCACAGCUCUUGAAAGAGAGAAACAUUCACUUGCGCGGUUUGGCACAUCCCAUG